RNAcentral lists this non-coding RNA (189 nucleotides) under Fusarium oxysporum f. sp. cubense race 1. RNAcentral's name for it is "Eukaryotic large subunit ribosomal RNA". It matches the Rfam family "Eukaryotic large subunit ribosomal RNA", at positions 1 to 193 of the family's 3401-position model. The record is from Rfam by way of RNAcentral. Lineage: Eukaryota; Fungi; Ascomycota; Sordariomycetes; Hypocreales; Nectriaceae.
UGACCUCGGAUCAGGUAGGAAUACCCGCUGAACUUAAGCAUAUCAAUAAGCGGAGGAAAAGAAACCAACAGGGAUUGCCCUAGUAACGGCGAGUGAAGCGGCAACAGCUCAAAUUUGAAAUCUGGCUCUCGGGCCCGAGUUGUAAUUUGUAGAGGAUACUUUUGAUGCGGUGCCUUCCGAGUUCCCUGG